UCGCGGGCUGAUUAGGUUUCACCCAAAGG
This 29-nucleotide non-coding RNA is filed under the name Homo sapiens (human). Lineage: Eukaryota; Metazoa; Chordata; Mammalia; Primates; Hominidae. The record is from RNAcentral.